This 100-nucleotide signal recognition particle RNA is filed under the name Pleurocapsa sp. PCC 7327. RNAcentral's name for it is "Bacterial signal recognition particle RNA". It matches the Rfam family "Bacterial small signal recognition particle RNA". From Rfam's summary of the family: The signal recognition particle (SRP) is a universally conserved ribonucleoprotein involved in the co-translational targeting of proteins to membranes. The record is from RNAcentral. Lineage: Bacteria; Bacillati; Cyanobacteriota; Cyanophyceae; Pleurocapsales; Pleurocapsaceae.
UGACUCGGACUCAUGCGAUUACAACGCCCAAACCUUGUCAGGACCGGAAGGUAGCAGCAAUACGGGAUGCUUGUAAUAGGCGUGAACUCCGGGUCUUUUU